GAGAGAGCGGAAGCCGGGAAUGGAAUCCCGGUGCAAGCGAGGUACCAGUCACAUCGGAAAAACCGUGUGGCAAUGGGAAGACGUGAUGCGGAGCGAAAUAAAGUAGCGAAGUCCGUGAGCUGUGCGUCAAGAAAAGCCGCUAUUGUUCAUGCCAUACCCGUACCGUAAACCGACACAGGUGGAUGAGGAGAGAAUCCUAAGGCCGGCGGAAGAAGCAUUGUCAAGGAACUCGGCAAAAUGACCCCGUAACUUCGGGAGAAGGGGUGCCACGGAAACGUGGCCGCAGAGAAUAGGCUCAAGCAACUGUUUAGCAAAAACACAGGUCUAUGCGAAACCGUAAGGUGAGGUAUAUGGGCUGACGCCUGCCCGGUGCUGGAAGGUUAAGAGGAGAGGUUAGCGCAAGCGAAGCUUUGAAUUUAAGCCCCAGUAAACGGCGGCCGUAACAAUAACGGUCCUAAGGUAGCGAAAUUCCUUGUCGGGUAAGUUCCGACCCGCGCGAAAGGCGUAAUGAUUUGAGCGCUGUCUCGACAAUGCAUCCGGUGAAAUUGAAGUACCAGUGAAGAUGCUGGUUACCUGCGCCAGGACGGAAAGACCCCAUGGAGCUUUACUCCAGUUUGGUACUGGGAUCCGGUACUGCAUGUACAGGAUAGGUGGGAGGCAGAGAAAUGGUAACGCCAGUUGCCAUGGAGCCGCUGUUGGGAUACCACCCUUGCAGUAUUGGGUUUCUAACCAGCCGCCGUGAACCGGCGGUGGGACAAUGCCAGACGGGGAGUUUGACUGGGGCGGUCGCCUCCGAAAGGGUAUCGGAGGCGCCCAAAGGUUCCCUCAGAAUGGACGGAAACCAUUCGAAGAGUGCAAAGGCAGAAGGGAGCUUGACUGCGACACCGACGGGUGGAGCAGGUACGAAAGUAGGGCUUAGUGAUCCGGUGGUAUUAAGUGGGAAUGCCAUCGCUCAACGGAUAAAAGCUACCCUGGGAUAACAGGCUUAUCACUCCCAAGAGUUCACAUCGACGGAGUGGUUUGGCACCCCGAUGUCGGCUCAUCGCAUCCUGGGGCUGUAGUAGGUCCCAAGGGUUGGGCUGUUCGCCCAUUAAAGCGGUACGCGAGCUGGGUUCAGAACGUCGUGAGACAGUUCGGUCCCUAUCCGGCGUGGGCGUAGGAUAUCUGAGAGGAGCUGUCCUUAGUACGAGAGGACCGGGAUGGACGGACCGCUGGUGUACCGGUUAGACUGCCAAGUCUACGGCCGGGUAGCCAAGUCCGGAAGGGAUAAACGCUGAAGGCAUCUAAGCGUGAAGCCCCCCUCGAGAUGAGAUAUCCCAUCCGAAAGGAGUAAACCCCCUUGAAGACGACGAGGUUGAUAGGGCAGGGGUGGAAGCAUGGCAACAUGUGGAGCUGACUGCUACUAAUAGGGUGAGGGCUUGAUC
RNAcentral lists this ribosomal RNA (1424 nucleotides) under metagenome. RNAcentral describes it as "bacterial LSU rRNA". It matches the Rfam family "Bacterial large subunit ribosomal RNA", at positions 1479 to 2925 of the family's 2925-position model. The record is from RNAcentral.